Molecule: ribosomal RNA, 466 nt
Filed under: uncultured bacterium
Lineage: Bacteria
Description: partial 16S ribosomal RNA
Rfam family: Bacterial small subunit ribosomal RNA
Source: RNAcentral
GACGAACGCUGGCGGCGUGCUUAACACAUGCAAGUCGUGCGGUAAGGCCCUUUCGGGGGUACGUGAGCGGCGAACGGGCGAGUAACACGCGAGCAACCUGCCCUCCACUUUGGGUGAACUGCCGUAAACGGAGGCGAAUACCGACCAUGACUUCCCCACGCAUGCGGGGUGGGGGAAGGACUGCGGGUGGGGGGGGGUGGGCUCGCGGCCGAUCUGCGUGUGGGUGGGGGGGUGGCCUACCAAGGGGUCGACGGGGAGCCGGCCUGAGAGGGGGACCGGCCACAGUGGGAAUGAGAUACGGCCCAGACUCCUACGGGAGGCAGCAGUGGGGAAGAUUGUACAAUGGGCGGAAGCCUGAUGCAGCAACGCCGCGUGCGGGAUGACGGCCUUCGGGUUGUAAACCGCGUUCGCCUGUGACGAAGCGUGAGUGACGGUAAUGGGUAAAGAAGCACCGGCUAACUACGUG